RNAcentral lists this ribosomal RNA (594 nucleotides) under Dynamena moluccana. RNAcentral's name for it is "partial large subunit ribosomal RNA". It matches the Rfam family "Bacterial large subunit ribosomal RNA", at positions 1833 to 2597 of the family's 2925-position model. The record is from RNAcentral. Lineage: Eukaryota; Metazoa; Cnidaria; Hydrozoa; Leptothecata; Sertulariidae.
GCCCCAGAAAUUAUCUGAGGUGUAACCUGCCCAAUGGUUUUUAAUUUUAAUUAAUAAAAUUUAUGAAAAAAAACUUAAAGGACGCGGUAACCUUGACCGUGAUAAUGUAGCAUAAUCAUUCGCCAUUUAAUUGAUGGAUAGUAUGAAUGGUUGAACGAAUAUUUCACUGUCUUAAGAAGAAAUAACAAAAAACUAGGAUAAUAGUAAAGACACUAUUUUAGAUUGUAAGACGAAAAGACCCUAUAGAGCUUAACUAUAAUCUCUCUACAUAAAAAGAAUAACAUUCCUAAAUAAAGAGAUUGGUAGUUUAGUUGGGGCGACUAUUUUUUAAAAAAAACAAAAAUAAGCAAAGUUAAUAAUAAAUUUAUUGUAUAAAAAAUCGAUUUAACAAUUAUGAAAAUAGGCUAUAAUGACCCGUUAUCAUUAAAUAAAAAAAAUAUAACGAUAAAUAAAUAAAAGCUACCUUAGGGAUAACAGGAUAAUUUUAUUUUAGAGACCUAAUCGAAAAUAAAGUUUGUCACCUCUAUGUUGAAUUAAGAUAUCCCGAUAAUGCAGAAGUUAUCAAAGGUGGGUCUGUUCGACCCUUAAAAUCUU